CAAGACAACCAGGAAGUUGGCUUAGAAGCAGCCACCUUUUAAAGAAAGCGUAACAGCUCACUGGUCAAGCGUUCCUGCGCGGAAAAUGUAACGGGGCUUAAGUGAUACACCGAAGCUGCGGGCUCGAAAGAGCGGUAGCGGAGCGUUCUGUAAGUCUGUGAAGGGUCACUGCGAGGUGGCCUGGAGAUAUCAGAAGUGAGAAUGUUGACAUGAGUAGCGAUAAAGGGAGUGAGAGACUCCCUCGCCGAAAGUCCAAGGGUUCCU
RNAcentral lists this ribosomal RNA (264 nucleotides) under Isochrysis galbana. RNAcentral describes it as "partial Bacterial large subunit ribosomal RNA". It matches the Rfam family "Bacterial large subunit ribosomal RNA", at positions 1085 to 1356 of the family's 2925-position model. The record is from RNAcentral. Lineage: Eukaryota; Haptophyta; Isochrysidales; Isochrysidaceae.